Molecule: long non-coding RNA, 182 nt
Organism: Rhodamnia argentea
Lineage: Eukaryota; Viridiplantae; Streptophyta; Magnoliopsida; Myrtales; Myrtaceae
Exons: 4
Source: RefSeq, a predicted model, not a curated record
AGGAUCAUUGCUCAAAUCGGACUGCAAGUGCGAGCGUGACAUAGACGACGAAGUCUCUGUUUUGCUCAGGCUCCACCCACUUCUUCUCUUUGAUCCCCGUCUUCCUUUGGACGGCACUUCUUCUUCUUCAUCUUCUUCGCAGAGACUCCUCGAGAAGUUUAUCUGUUCGUCUUCAAAGGGUU